Molecule: long non-coding RNA, 404 nt
Filed under: Mytilus galloprovincialis (Mediterranean mussel)
Lineage: Eukaryota; Metazoa; Mollusca; Bivalvia; Mytilida; Mytilidae
Source: RNAcentral
UGUGAACGAUACAAACAGACAUAAUAGGUGAAAAUGUCAAAUAUAGAGGUACAGUAGUUGACAUUGUGUUAUGAUCUUAAUCAUUAUAAAACAAACAAAUAUGCAACAAAGGAGCAUUAAAAGACAUAUACAAUUAAACAAAUCACAUUAGCAAAAACGAAAGACAUGUCGGAAAAUACGCGAAAUACAAACAUUACGCUAUGGCAACGUUGUUACCAUAACGCUAUACUGUGUGCCGUUAUAUUGUAUAUGCAUUAGCUAUCACGACGAUUAAACGUAAAGAAAACACAACGUUUUCAUUAAGAAUAUAAAAAUGUACAAUAUUAGUAGUACAAUGAAUAAUUUAUGAAUUAGAUGCAUUGAUUUAAAUAUUAUUAAAUGAUAUCUUCAAAAUGUAAGCUUAA